Non-coding RNA from Canis lupus familiaris (dog), 83 nucleotides. The record is from Rfam. Lineage: Eukaryota; Metazoa; Chordata; Mammalia; Carnivora; Canidae.
GCCUGGGUGGCUCAGCGGUUGAGCGUCUGCCUUUGGCUCAGGACGUGAUCCCGGAGUUGCAGGAUCGAGUCCCGCAUCGGGCU